UCGAACUCAGAAAUCUGCCUGCCACU
This 26-nucleotide non-coding RNA is filed under the name Mus musculus (house mouse). Lineage: Eukaryota; Metazoa; Chordata; Mammalia; Rodentia; Muridae. The record is from RNAcentral.